Molecule: ribosomal RNA, 238 nt
Filed under: uncultured bacterium
Lineage: Bacteria
Description: partial 16S ribosomal RNA
Rfam family: Bacterial small subunit ribosomal RNA
Source: RNAcentral
AGGUGUGGGAGGUGUCGACUCCUCCCGUGCCGUCGCUAACGCAUUAAGUUCCCCGCCUGGGGAGUACGGCCGCAAGGCUAAAACUCAAAGGAAUUGACGGGGGCCCGCACAAGCAGCGGAGCAUGUGGUUUAAUUCGAUGCAACGCGAAGAACCUUACCUGGGUUUGAAAUGUUGGUGACCGGUGUGGAAACACACCUUUCCUUCGGGACACCAUCACAGGUGGUGCAUGGCUGUCGU